AGAGCCUCAGGUCAGUGCGGGGCUACCCGCUGAAUUUAAGCAUAUCAAUAAGGGGGAAAAGAAACUAAUAGAUUCCCUUAGUAACGGGCGAGCGAACUGGGAUAAGCGCACCAUGAGAAUCGGUUCGCCUUACAGCGUUCGAAUUGUAGUCUAGAGAAGCGUCCUCAGCGGUGGGACCAGGCCCAAGUCCCUGGAAGGGGCGCCGGAGAGGGUGGAGAGCCCCGUUGUGGCUCGGACCCUGUCGCACCACGAGGCGCUGUCGGCGAUUCGGGUUGUUUUGGGAAGCAACCCCAUCGGGCGGUAAUUCCUGUCCAAGCUAAAUAUUGGCGAGAGACGAUAGCGACAAUGAUAGUACUCGCGAGGAAGAAAGAUGGAAAAGGACUAUAUGAAAGAGAGUCAAAGAGUGCUUGAAAUUGUCGGUAGGGAAGCAGCGGAUGGGGAGCCGCGGCCGAUGUCCCUCUCGAUCUGUCGGAUUGGUAACGGUUGUGCUCGGUCCGCAAUUCGACUCGGGACAUCGACUUGACGCGGAUUGUGAUGGUGGCCCAAGCCUGCGGCGUUGUUGAACAUGCUCGCGGAGCACGGAGUCAUCAUCACGAUUGUGGACGGCAGCACGCGCCGUUUCGGCGUGCUUGGCACUGCGCGCUCCACUUGGUCGUCAGCCUGUGGCCUCUCCAUUCGACCCGUCUUCAAACAAGGACCUAAGGAGUAGGACAUGUGUGCGAUGUCAAGCAGGCGCGAUAAACCCGUAAGGCGCCAAGGCAAGCUGAUUGGUGGAUCCUCUUGUGGGUUGCACCGCCGAGCCGACCCGAUCUUCUGUGAAGGGUUCGAGUGAGAGCAUACUGUCCGGGACCGAAAGAUGGUGACUAUGCUGAGCGGGCGAAGCAGAAGGACUCAAAGUGGAGGUUCGCAGCGAUACUGACGUGCAAAUCGUUCGUCGACUAAGGGGCGAAAGACUAAUCGACCGUCUAGUAGCUGGUUCCUUCCGAAGUUUCCCUCAUGAUAGGCUGGACCGAGGGCGAGUUCUAUCGGGUAAGAUAAGCAAUGAUUAGAGGCAUCGGGGGCGCAACGCCCUCGACCUAUCUCAACUUUAAAUAGGUAGGACGGUGUGGGCUGCUUUGUUGAGCCAUGCCUUGGAAUCGAGAGCUCAAGUGGCCAUUUUGGUAAGGCAGAACGGGAUGCGGAUGAACCGGAAGCGGGUUACGUGCCCAACUGCGCGCUAACCUAGACCAACAAAGGGUGUUGGUCGACUUAAGAAGCAGGACGGUGGGGAAAGCAUCCGUCUAAGAAGUGGUGUCAAGAAUCAACUAGCUCCGAAAUGGAUGGCCGCUAAGCGCGCGACCUAUACCCUGCCGUUGGGGCAAGGGCCAGGCCCCGAUGUGGUAGGAAGGGUUGCGGCGGUCGUGCAAAAGUCGGGGCGUGAGCCUGGGCGGGAGCGGUAGUUCGGUGCAGAUCUUGGUGUAGUAGCAAAUAUUCAAAUGAGAACUUUUGAAGGCGAAGAAGGGGAAAAGGGUUCCAUGUGAACGGCACUUGCACAUGGUAGUGCGAUCCUAAGGGAUGGGGGAAGCCCGUUAAUAGCGCUCUAAAGGCGUACACCGAAAAGGGAAUCAGGUUUAAAAUUCCUGAACCGGGACGUGGAUGGCUGAACGGCAACGUUAGGGAGUCCGGAAGACAUUGGCGGGCCCAGAAAGAGUUUAUCUUUUCUGUUUAACAGCAAUGCACUCUGGAAACGGUCAGUUCGGAGGUAGGGGUUCCCAGCGGCUGGAAGAGCACCGCAGUCGCGUGGUGUCCAGUGCGCCCCUGGCGGCCCUUGAAUCCGGAGGACCGAGUGCUUCCAUGCCCGUCGUACUCAUAACCGCAUCAGGUCCUCCAAGGUGAACAGCCUCUGGUCGAUGGAACAAUGUAGGCAAGGGAAGUCGGCAAAAUGGACCGUACCUCCGGGAAACAAGAUUGGCUUCUGAGGGCUGGGCAACGGGGUCCCCAGUUCGAACACCGUCGGCUGUUGGUGGAUUGCUUGAGCUGGCUUCCCUGCGCGAGAGCGGGUGCCUCGGCGUGCCGGUCGGGGACUGAUUGGGAACGGGCCAUUCGGGCCUCUGCCCCGGGCAUCGAACAAUCAAUCAGACUGGUAAUGGACCAAGGGGAAUCCGACUUGUUUAAAUUAAAACAAAGCAUUGCGAUGGUCCCUUGCGGAUGUUGACGUAAUGUGAUUUCUUGCCCAGUGCUCUGAAGUCAAAGUGAAGAAAUUCAACCAAGCGCGGAGGUAAACGGCGGGAGUAACUAUGACUCUCUUAGGUAGCCAAAUGCCUCGUCAUCUAAUUAAAGUGACGCGCAUUGAAUGGAUUAACGAGAUUCCCACUGUCCCCUGUCUACAUCUCAGCGAACCACACCAAGGGAAUGGGCUUGGCGGAUCAGCGGGGAAAGAAGACCCUGUUGAGCUUGACUCUAGUCCGACUUUGUGAAAUGACUUGAGAGGUGUAGGAUAAGUGGGAGCUGGAAACAGCAAAAGUGAAAUACCACUACUU
RNAcentral lists this ribosomal RNA (2519 nucleotides) under Cicer echinospermum. RNAcentral describes it as "eukaryotic LSU rRNA". It matches the Rfam family "Eukaryotic large subunit ribosomal RNA", at positions 1 to 2505 of the family's 3401-position model. Lineage: Eukaryota; Viridiplantae; Streptophyta; Magnoliopsida; Fabales; Fabaceae. The record is from RNAcentral.